UUGGAGGCGGCUACCAGCGAAAAGCCGAAACUCGCCCGCAAAGAGGCUCAGGAGGGGGUGACUCCGCUGCAGCGGACCCUGGGAAAGCGAGUUGACGCCACUGCAGCCUUUUGAAGAGGAAAAGCGGAGACCCUCAGCUACAGAUCUUCGAAAUUUCUUACAUGACUUCUGAUCUUCACAACUGUGCAAUCCAUUUUUAAAACGGGAAAAAGACUCAGAAAUCAGAAGUUGUACGUCGAGUCGCUUAUUCACCAUAUUUCAUUGUCUUGAUAGCAUCACUAGAACGACCUACCGAAGAAAGUACCGUUUGAGUCUCCAUCCUCGUGCUUCUGCUGCUGUUGCUGCUGCUGUUGCUGCUGCUCCCUCAGCUGCAAGGACUCCUGACAAACGUAAAUGGUUAGCCUUGGGCGCACCAUCCUAGGGAGGAAAAAACAAAAGCUGUUACUCAAAUUCUUCACGGGCUUCCCUUGUGGCGCAGUGGCUGGGAAUCUGCCUGCCAAUGCAAGGGACGUGGGUUUGAGCCCUGGUCCAGGAAGAUCCUACAUGCCGUGGAACAACUAAGCGCAUGCGCCACAACUACUGAGCCUGUGCUCUAGAGCCUGCAAGCCACAACUACUGAGCCCGCAAACCACAACUCCUGAAGUCCAUGCACCUAGAGCCCAUGCUCCACAACAAGAGAAGCCACCUCAAUGAGAAGCCUGCACACCGCAACGAAGAGUAGCCCCCGCUCGCCACAACUAGAGAAA
Molecule: long non-coding RNA, 746 nt
Organism: Balaenoptera acutorostrata (minke whale)
Lineage: Eukaryota; Metazoa; Chordata; Mammalia; Artiodactyla; Balaenopteridae
Exons: 4
Source: RefSeq, a predicted model, not a curated record